CUUGCUUCUCCCCGGCGACGAGUGGCGAACGGGUGAGUAAUACAUCGGAACGUGUCCGCUCGUGGGGGACAACCAGCCGAAAGGUUGGCUAAUACCGCAUGAGUUCUACGGAAGAAAGAGGGGGACCCGCAAGGGCCUCUCGCGAGCGGAGCGGCCGAUGACUGAUUAGCCGGUUGGUGAGGUAACGGCUCACCAAAGCAACGAUCAGUAGCUGGUCUGAGAGGACGACCAGCCACACUGGGACUGAGACACGGCCCAGACUCCUACGGGAGGCAGCAGUGGGGAAUUUUGGACAAUGGGCGCAAGCCUGAUCCAGCUAUUCCGCGUGUGGGAUGAAGGCCCUCGGGUUGUAAACCACUUUUGUAGAGAACGAAAAGACACCUUUUAAAAAAGGGUGUUGCUGACGGUACUCUAAGAAUAAGCACCGGCUAACUACGUGCCAGCAGCCGCGGUAAUACGUAGGGUGCGAGCGUUAAUCGGAAUUACUGGGCGUAAAGGGUGCGCAGGCGGUUGAGUAAGACAGAUGUGAAAUCCCCGAGCUUAACUCGGGAAUGGCAUAUGUGACUGCUCGACUAGAGUGUGUCAGAGGGAGGUGGAAUUCCACGUGUAGCAGUGAAUGCGUAGAUAUGUGGAAGACACCGAUGGCGAA
RNAcentral lists this ribosomal RNA (649 nucleotides) under uncultured beta proteobacterium. RNAcentral describes it as "bacterial SSU rRNA". It matches the Rfam family "Bacterial small subunit ribosomal RNA", at positions 74 to 719 of the family's 1533-position model. The record is from RNAcentral. Lineage: Bacteria; Pseudomonadati; Pseudomonadota; Betaproteobacteria.